Long non-coding RNA from Nannospalax galili (Upper Galilee mountains blind mole rat), 2494 nucleotides. RefSeq lists it as uncharacterized. The transcript has 3 exons. NCBI's taxonomy places the organism in Eukaryota, Metazoa, Chordata, Mammalia, Rodentia, Spalacidae. The record is from RefSeq and is a predicted model, not a curated record.
CCUGGUUUAUGUGGUACUGAGGAUGGAGCCCAGGGCUUCGUACCAAGUACUGUACCGACCAAGCCACGUCCCCAAGCCUGGUUUGGUAGACUGUUCUGCCCCAUGCCUGUGGGUGUGAAGUACCUGUCCCUGCUGGGCUGCAGCUGUUUCCCUGUGCUGAGGCCUUGCUCAGUCUGCUUAGAACUGUGAACUGGGAGCUUAGCAGUGUGGUAGGAGGCUGGAGAGACUGCUGAACGGUGGAGGGGAAGCCCGGGUUCUCACUUCCUGACUAUAGGAUGCUGAGUUCACACUCCUGGAUCCUUUUCGAGCUCUAUAAUGUAUUGCUGAUUUUUUUUUCCCCCUAAGAGAAGCUUCCAGUUCCCCCUGGACGAGCUGAAUUGUGUUAUCUUUACCCAUUCUUUGAGCCUGUUCCAUUUGUAGUGCUUAGUUCUUUACCUGUUUUUCUGCUUUUUUUCCUCUAUCUAGCCCUAAUUUUUACAUUUUCAGGUAAAAUGUUGGGACAUGGGCACCCUGGAAUGCUGCUGGACGUUGCCCUCCCUUGGAGGCUUUCCUUACAGCCUGGCCUUCUCCCCCGUGGACGCAGGCUGCCUGGCUAUAGGCAUAGGGAACGGCAUGAUCCAUCAAGAACAGCUACGAUGUGAGGCACUUGCGGCAGGGUGUUAAGUCCAAGGUUACAGUGACCUCCACAGAUUUCUAGCACGUAUCAUAAGAAGACUGUGUACACGUUGGCCUGGGGGUCCCCGGUGACUCCCAUGUCACUUGGAUCCCAUGGAGGCAGCAGGGCCGGGUGGUCACGGAGCAGCUGAAGGAAAGCUUGAGCUGCGCCCUCACUCUGCAGCGUAGCUCUUCUCUUUGAGCUGUGUUUUCCCUGUGCACAGUUAACCUGAGGCAGGUUCUGUGACUCCUAGGUCCCGAGGCUUUGCUCGCUGGCCACCCCCACCUCCUAUCCCAGCUGCUCUUGCCUUCUUUAAAGUGGGAGGCCUGUCUUGCCAUCCACGGCUGCCCUCCUGUGACCCGGUGCUUCGGAACUGAAGUUCAGAGCAGGGGUCCCCAGCUUUGCCUCUUCAGAGCUUUUAUUAGGAAGCUUAGAGUUUUCAGUUCACACAGAGUUUACAUAUUAUUCAUGUUCAAGCAGCACAAAACAAAGAAUUGUCUCACUGCUGUAGUAAGAAAACAGCACAGUGUGUCCAAGGCUGUGGCGACCAGCCUGGGAACAGACCUCCUUUGAUGCCUGCACAAACAGGGUGAGGGAGGUGGCGGCCUGUUGUUCCCAGCGGUCCAGAAGCCAGGUGCUUUAUCAGUCUUCCCAGCAUUCUGGGAGCAGACGCUCCCUCCCUCAAGCCUCUGCAUCAGCAGAGCUGGAAGAAGUCUGUUAACCCCUAGCGAGCCAAGCACUGUUGUCCUUAAGGGUCAGCUACAACUGUCUUAGAAUGAGUUUUCAACAAAAGUCUUUGCUUUCUACGGAACUGUAAGGAAGCAUCUGUAGAUUUCGGCAGCACUUGCCUUACACACACAGGACUGUGUUGGAAUGCUGUCUGUUUACUCAACAAGAGGCCGGAUGUGCCAUUGUCACUGCUCUGACAACCUCUCAGUGACAAGUCCUGAAAGUCCUGAGCUCUGUGUAUGCAAACGCGCCAGGAGUAGGGUGCUUGUUUCUGGAACAACAAAGGGAUUCUCCGAAGCUUUGGUUGGACCAUCUGUGGUUCCAUCUUUGGUGUCACCACUGUUCUGAAUGUCAGAAGUGUUUACAGUAAAUAAAUUGUCUCAGAAUACCACUGCCUCCUGCCUCAGAGGAAAGGAAACAGUUAAGCUUCUGUCUUCCACAGGAGCUGAAGGAGACAGGCCAUCCCUCACCUUGUACAGCUGUGGCGGGGAGGCCAUCGUCUUACAGCACAACCCCUGGAAGCUCAGUGGAGAGGCCUUCGACAUCAACAAGCUCAUCCGGGACUCCAAUUCAAUCAAGGUGAGCACCCUCUCAGCGCUUCUGCUUUUCCUGCCUCGCAUACACCAGGGCCAGCAUAGAGAUACCCAGCAUGCUUAGCAGCCGUCUCAGAUAGUAUGACUGUCAGUGAGUUUGUGUUGCCUUGUGUACCGUAUACCUUAGAACAUUGAGUAAAACAAAGAACCUAACAUGGGGGAAGACUGCUCGGUUGCAACUGGUUCCUAAUAAACUUGAAUGACAGUAGAGUCAAGCUUUCAACCAGAACGGCGCCCUGGUCACAUUGCGCACGUGUGGUCUCCAGGUGCACCUGCAAUGGAAGCAGUUAUCAUCGUGUCUUUUUUGAUACGGUAGCUCACUGUUAGCCCAGGCUGACCUCCAACUCCUAAUCUUCCUGCUUUAGCCUCCCAAGUGCUGGGAUUACACACAUGAACACACACACACACACACACACACACACACACACACACACGCACAACUGAAAAUUCUCUUGAGUCCUUUGCCUAGAAUCUCAAACAUAGUUGUAUGUGUUUUAUCUUUGUGCCAAUACAUUUG